This 254-nucleotide ribosomal RNA is filed under the name uncultured bacterium. Its description in RNAcentral is "partial 16S ribosomal RNA". It matches the Rfam family "Bacterial small subunit ribosomal RNA", at positions 524 to 776 of the family's 1533-position model. The record is from RNAcentral.
GACGAACCGUGCGAACGUUAUUCGGAUUCACUGGGCUUAAAGCGCGUGUAGGCGGCCCGACACGUCCGUCGCUGAAAUCCCCCGGCUCAACCGGGGAACGGGCGCGGAUACGAUUGGGCUGGAGGCCGGUAGGGGGAGUCGGAACUUCCGGUGGAGCGGUGAAAUGCGUUGAGAUCGGAAGGAACGCCCGUGGCGAAAGCGGACUCCUGGACCGGACCUGACGCUGAGACGCGAAAGCUAGGGGAGCAAACGGG